RNAcentral lists this ribosomal RNA (859 nucleotides) under bacterium enrichment culture clone LD6. Its description in RNAcentral is "bacterial SSU rRNA". It matches the Rfam family "Bacterial small subunit ribosomal RNA", at positions 608 to 1478 of the family's 1533-position model. The record is from RNAcentral.
UUUAACCCUGGGAAAUGCAUUUGUGACUGGCCAGGCUAGAGUAUGGCAGAGGGGGGUAGAAUUCCACGUGUAGCAGUGAAAUGCGUAGAGAUGUGGAGGAAUACCGAUGGCGAAGGCAGCCCCCUGGGCCAAUACUGACGCUCAUGCACGAAAGGUGGGGAGCAAACAGGAUUAGAUACCCUGGUAGUCCACGCCCUAAACGAUGUCAACUAGUUGUUGGGGAUUCAUUUCCUUAGUAACGUAGCUAACGCGUGAAGUUGACCGCCUGGGGAGUACGGUCGCAAGAUUAAAACUCAAAGGAAUUGACGGGGACCCGCAAAGCGGUGGAUGAUGUGGAUUAAUUCGAUGCAACGCGAAAAACCUUACCUACCCUUGACAUGGUCGGAACCCUGGUGAGAGCUGGGGGUGCUCGAAAGAGAACGACACACAGGUGCUGCAUGGCUGUCGUCAGUCGUGUCGUGAGAUGUUGGGUUAAGUCCCGCAACGAGCGCACUUGUCCUUAGUUGCUACGCAAGAGCACUCUAAGGAGACUGCCGGUGACAAACCGGAGGAAGGUGGGGAUGACGUCAAGUCCUCAUGGCCCUUAUGGGUAGGGCUUCACACGUCAUACAAUGGUCGGAACAGAGGGUCGCUAAGCCGCGAGGUGGAGCCAAUCCCAGAAAACCGAUCGUAGUCCGGAUCGUAGUCUGCAACUCGACUACGUGAAGCUGGAAUCGCUAGUAAUCGCGGAUCAGCAUGCCGCGGUGAAUACGUUCCCGGGUCUUGUACACACCGCCCGUCACACCAUGGGAGUGGGUUUUACCAGAAGUGGCUAGUCUAACCGCAAGGAGGAGGUCACCACGGUAGGAUUCAUGACUGG